Molecule: unclassified non-coding RNA, 304 nt
Filed under: plant metagenome
Description: partial contains small subunit ribosomal RNA, internal transcribed spacer 1, and 5.8S ribosomal RNA
Source: RNAcentral
UUUCCGUAGGUGAACCUGCGGAAGGAUCAUUAUUGAAAUAAACCUGAUGGGUUGCUGCUGGUUCUCUAGGGAGCAUGUGCACGCUUGUCAUCUUUAUAUCUCCACCUGUGCACUUUUUGUAGACCUGGAUAAUCUUUCUGAAUGCACUUGCAUUUCAGGUUUGAGGAAUUGACUUCAUGUCUCUCCUUACAUUUCCAGGCCUAUGUUUCUUCAUAUACCCCUAUGUAUGUUUCAGAAUGUAACAGGAUGGGCCUUUUGUGCCUAUAAAUAUAUACAACUUUCAGCAACGGAUCUCUUGGCUCUC